UUAUUGGCUGAUUGUCGAUCUGUAUUCUCUCCCUGAUACAUUUCUCUUUCGGGUCUUGUAAUUGGAAUGAGUACAAUCUAAAUCCCUUAACGAGGAACAAUUGGAGGGCAAGUCUGGUGCCAGCAGCCGCGGUAAUUCCAGCUCCAAUAGCGUAUAUUAAAGUUGUUGCAGUUAAAAAGCUCGUAGUUGAACCUUGGGUCUGGCUGGCCGGUCCGCCUCACCGCGUGCACUGGUCCGGCCGGACCUUUCCUCCUGGGGAGCCUCAUGGCCUUCACUGGCUGUGGGGGGAACCAGGACUUUUACUGUGAAAAAAUUAGAGUGUUCAAAGCAGGCCUUUGCUCGGAUACAUUAGCAUGGAAUAAUAGAAUAGGACGUGUGGUUCUAUUUUGUUGGUUUCUAGGACCGCCGUAAUGAUUAAUAGGGAUGGUCGGGGGCGUCAGUAUUCGGCUGUCAGAGGUGAAAUUCUUGGAUUUGCUGAAGACUAACUACUGCGAAAGCAUUCGCCAAGGAUGUUUUCAUUAAUCAGUGAACGAAAGUUAGGGGAUCGAAGACGAUCAGAUACCGUCGUAGUCUUAACCAUAAACUAUGCCGACUAGGGAUCGGACGGGGUUCUUAUGAUGACCCGUUCGGCACCUUACGAGAAAUCAAAGUUUUUGGGUUCUGGGGGGAGUAUGGUCGCAAGGCUGAAACUUAAAGAAAUUGACGGAAGGGCACCACAAGGCGUGGAGCCUGCGGCUUAAUUUGACUCAACACGGGGAAACUCACCAGGUCCAGACAAAAUAAGGAUUGACAGAUUGAGAGCUCUUUCUUGAUCUUUUGGAUGGUGGUGCAUGGCCGUUCUUAGUUGGUGGAGUGAUUUGUCUGCUUAAUUGCGAUAACGAACGAGACCUUAACCUGCUAAAUAGCCCGACCCGCGUCUGCGGGCCGCUGGCUUCUUAGAGGGACUAUCGGCUCAAGCCGAUGGAAGUUUGAGGCAAUAACAGGUCUGUGAUGCCCUUAGAUGUUCUGGGCCGCACGCGCGCUACACUGACAGGGCCAGCGAGUACAUCACCUUGACAGAGAGUCUGGUAUCUUGUGAACCCUGUCGUGCUGGGGAUAGAGCAUGCAAUUAUGCUCUUCACGAUGAUGACUAGUAGCACAGUCAUCAGCUGUGCGAUACGUCCUGCCUUGUACACACGUCGUCGCUACUACGAUGAUGCUCAGUGAGUCUCGACUGCUCAGAGAUGGCACGACGCCAGAGCGAAGUGGUCAACUGUCAUUAGAGAGUAA
Molecule: ribosomal RNA, 1269 nt
Rfam family: Eukaryotic small subunit ribosomal RNA
Source: Rfam